This 126-nucleotide ribosomal RNA is filed under the name uncultured phototrophic eukaryote. RNAcentral describes it as "partial 16S ribosomal RNA". It matches the Rfam family "Bacterial small subunit ribosomal RNA", at positions 369 to 507 of the family's 1533-position model. The record is from RNAcentral.
CAAUGGGCGAAAGCCUGACAGAGCAAUACCGCGUGAGGGAUGAAGACUUACUGAGUUGUAAACCUCGGUGCCUUAAGGAAGAAGAUCUGACGGUACUUAAGGUGGAAAGCAUCGGCUAACUCCGUG